Molecule: long non-coding RNA, 1404 nt
Filed under: Gossypium barbadense (sea-island cotton)
Lineage: Eukaryota; Viridiplantae; Streptophyta; Magnoliopsida; Malvales; Malvaceae
Description: long non-coding RNA (GBAR_LNC010473)
Source: RNAcentral
UGGGUAUUCUAGUAAAGAGUGUGGAUCUCAACGCUCUAAUACGAAAUCUUCAUCACCAUCAGUGACUAGCGUUGGAAGUGUGAGAAACAUAAAGCCAAAUUGUAGAUAUUUCAACAAAUUUCAUCAUGGAGAAUGCUAUAUGAAGACUGGUGCGUGUUACAAAUGUGGCUCUUUUGAUCAUUUUCUAAGAGAUUAUCCUGAAAUAGUUGAAAGUUAUGUUGAAUAGACUUCAAAACCAAGUAACACUUGUAAUAGGCCCAUUUCACCCGGGCCCAUAAUUUUUUUAAAAAAUAAAAGCAAAAUUAAUUAAUUAAAAGUCCAAGUUUUUUUUACAAGAAUAAAAGCCCAAAGCAAGAUCCCUAACCCAAAGUCUCAUUACACCCAAACCUUUUAACCUAACCCAAUUUAAAAGUCGCCCAAGUAAGCCCAAAAUCGGGAAGGCACCAGAAACCCUAGAAGUUUCUGGAAUACCAGUGCCGCAGCUAGCCAGAAACGGGCUCCCACGAAUGGCCACUCCUCGUGCGACUUCCGUACACUUCCACAUCAGCAGAACCUGCGAGAAGAAAGAAAAUAGCAAUAACCGAAUCCAAUAGAUUGUAUAGCUGGAAAAGAAAAUAAUUUUGGAAUUUCUUUGUCAUUAGAUUUGGCUAUAAAAAGCCAUCAUAUGUACUGUAAAAGGGGAUGGAAUAGAGGUACAUUGAAAAAAGCAUAUUGAAAAGAAGAAUUCAAAAGCCUUUUUUAAAGGUGGUUUUUUAUUUUCUAGUUGCUUUAGUUUUCUGUUGAAUCUUCUCACUUUCUUUUUCAAUCUUUCGUUAUUGUAUUUAAAAGCAAAUGAAAAAGGAAAAAGGGGAUUAUACCUUAUGAUUUGGCCGUGGGUUCACUCUUGCUUCGUCAAAAUCGAAGUUUAAGGGGAUCUUGAGGCUAAAAAAAACAUCCUUCAAGGCUUGAAUGAACCGAUCGCUGUUCAUGGAGGUUGAUUGGAGUUUGAAUGAAGGGAUUUUGGGAACGGUUGAGGAAGAACCAAAGGGACUAGGGUUUAGAUUCGAUUGAGUGUAAGAGAGAUAGGAGGCUUAGGUUUUUUUUUUGUUUUGAUUUUAUUCAAGGGAAUUGGGGAGUAUACGAAACGGCGUCGUGUAUAGGGGAGGGUAGAUCCACGCGCAAGCCCGAUCCACAGGCUGGAUCCGUGCCUUGGCCUUUCGGAUGGUCAAAUUCGCGACUAACCCUUCGUCUUCACGCAGACCUUCAAAUUGAUCCUUAUUUAUGCUUUAUUUCUUUUUAAAUUUGUCAUAUAAUUUAUAUGUUUUUGCAAUGCAGUCCACGCUUAAACGUUAUGAUUUGGGAUAUGGAAUAUUUUCAAUUUUAAUCCCUGAACAUUCGCGUAUAUUUCGCUUUAGUCAUUAUUUC